CAAGAAGCCGAAAGGCUACUUAAAACCAUCGCGAACUUAUCCAAGUUUGCUUCGGCGGGCGCGGCUCCCCUCACGGGGGACCGCAGCCCCCCGCCUCUCAGGAGGUAAGGGGCAGCCGCCCGGAGGUACGAAACUCUGUAUUAUAGUGGUAUCUCUGAGUAUAAAACAAAUAAGUUA
RNAcentral lists this unclassified non-coding RNA (177 nucleotides) under soil metagenome. Its description in RNAcentral is "partial internal transcribed spacer 1". The record is from RNAcentral.